CGCCGCGUGCAGGAGGACGCUUUUCGGAGUGUAAACUGCUUUUCUGUGGGAAGAGCUACGGACGGUACCACAGGAAGAAGCCCCGGCUAACUACGUGC
This 98-nucleotide ribosomal RNA is filed under the name uncultured bacterium. Its description in RNAcentral is "partial 16S ribosomal RNA". It matches the Rfam family "Bacterial small subunit ribosomal RNA", at positions 395 to 508 of the family's 1533-position model. The record is from RNAcentral.